This 72-nucleotide transfer RNA is filed under the name Ictidomys tridecemlineatus (thirteen-lined ground squirrel). RNAcentral describes it as "Spermophilus tridecemlineatus (thirteen-lined ground squirrel) tRNA". It matches the Rfam family "tRNA". Rfam says of the family: Transfer RNA (tRNA) molecules are approximately 80 nucleotides in length. Their secondary structure includes four short double-helical elements and three loops (D, anti-codon, and T loops). Further hydrogen bonds mediate the characteristic L-shaped molecular structure. tRNAs have two regions of fundamental functional importance: the anti-codon, which is responsible for specific mRNA codon recognition, and the 3' end, to which the tRNAs corresponding amino acid is attached (by aminoacyl-tRNA synthetases). tRNAs cope with the degeneracy of the genetic code in two manners: having more than one tRNA (with a specific anti-codon) for a particular amino acid; and 'wobble' base-pairing, i.e. permitting non-standard base-pairing at the 3rd anti-codon position. The record is from Rfam by way of RNAcentral. Lineage: Eukaryota; Metazoa; Chordata; Mammalia; Rodentia; Sciuridae.
GGGAAUGUGGCUCAAUGGUAGAGUGUUUGCCUAGCAUGCAUGAGGACCUGAGUUCAGUCCCCAGACUUGCCA